Molecule: long non-coding RNA, 441 nt
Filed under: Homo sapiens (human)
Lineage: Eukaryota; Metazoa; Chordata; Mammalia; Primates; Hominidae
Description: PREDICTED lncRNA (TCONS_00217039)
Source: RNAcentral
UCUGAGGGCCUUAGCUCUGGCCAGGGGCGCUGCAACGGGCUCAGCCUUCUAGGGGUGGCGGGUGAAGGCCUACACCUGCCCCAGGACGGCCAGGUCCACCAGCACCUGCAACAGACGGAGAACUGAAGGAGCAUCUUGAAGCUGUGGCUGUCUUGAAGGUGUCGCCGCUUGUCCUCACGAGCACCAUUUUGAUUCUCGUGCCCUGUGUGCAUGGGUGGCCAGCGUUGCUGGUAGGGCUCCUGCACGCUCAGAGUGGCCUUGGCCAGGAAGUCCAGGGUUUCCGCAGGCAGAGUGUAUGAACAAGGUACUGAGAAGAUCACAUACUGCAUGUCCUCCUAAAACCUGGUCCUGGCAUAACCUUCUAAGCUGUUUUAUUCAGGUGUUUAUGGAUUUUGUAUUUGCCCAUGUUUAAUGAGCUUUACAACACUUCCAUCAGAGAAC